GAUUUUAAUGAUCGAACAGAUCAAAAUUUUAAACUUUUGCAUUUAAAUUUUAUCUUAAUCCAACAUCGAGGUCGCAAACUUUUUUUUUUAUUUGAACUAAAAAAAAAUAUUACGCUGUUAUCCCUAAGGUAAUUUUUUCUUAUAAUCAUUAUUAAUGGAUCAUUUAAUCAUUUAUUUAUGUUUAAUUUUUAAAAAAAGUUAAUUUAAUUUUUCUAUCACCCCAAUAUAAUAAUUAAUUUUAUUUCAAUAAAAAUUUUUAUAUAAUUUUAAAAUAAAAAUAAAUAUAAAACUCUAUAGGGUCUUCUCGUCUUUUAAAAUUAAUUUAGCUUUUUAACUAAAAAAUAAACUUCUAAAAAUAAAUAAGAGACAGUUUAUAUUUCAUCAAAUCUUUCAUACAAGUUUUCAAUUAAAAAACUAGUGAUUAUGCUACCUUUGUACAGUCAUUAUACUGCAGCCCUUUAAUUAUUAUCAGUGGGCAGAUUAGACCUUAAAUUAUACUCAA
This 502-nucleotide ribosomal RNA is filed under the name Oeneis polixenes (polixenes arctic butterfly). Its description in RNAcentral is "partial 16S rRNA". Lineage: Eukaryota; Metazoa; Arthropoda; Insecta; Lepidoptera; Nymphalidae. The record is from RNAcentral.